CGUUUCUGCACAGAGCUACCAGCCCGGGCAGACACUGAGGACCCUCCUCGCGCACUGGAGCUGUGGCCUCGGCAGCUGUGGGAAUGCGGACAGGAAGCAGGGGACCCUGGAGGCGAGAGGAGGAGGACAUCCUGCGGGGAUAGAUAAAAAAUAACGGCCGGGCUGUGGGAACCUCUUCCGAGCAAACAUGUGAGCCCAGGAAUUUCCUGAGCCAGAGAUCUGACUCCGGUUAUUUGUUGUAACUGAUUAUUUGUUUUCCUGGAGAUUUUGCAUAAUUUUGACAAAGGGAAAGAAGAUAUAAAGCCAAGACAUGCAUGACUGCCCUUCUGAAGCCUCUGCUCACAGAGCAGAGGGAUAGGAGGCUGUGAUUCAGAUUAUGGGGCCUGCAGGCUGGGGAGGGCGACCCUGCAGGGGCCCAGGAGCAGGCAGAGUGUGCCCCACAGACCCCUCCCUGGGGCAGAGGGACAGCAGAUUACUGGGCCCGAGACGCAUUAGGUGGCACAUGCUGGUUCCCUCUGUCCAGCGAGCCUCUCCCCCAGCAUCAUCCAGCCCUGGGCCUCCAGCAGGCAGAGGAGAUCAUGACCAGGAAGCAAUUCAUCACCAUCCAAGGCCUUAGCAGACUCUGGCUUUCCUUUGAAUUUCCAAGAAAACUGCUCCAUAAUUUUUAUCAAGACUUAUCAUUUGCCCAUCUCACCCUACACACUAGAAUUUUAAGCGAUGAAGUACAUGUGGAGACUUACUUUGUAGUCUUUUAAGAUAAUGACCAAAUGAACAUUUCUGGCCUCACUCAGCAUCUGCUCUGACACGGGUUUAAGGGGCUGCCGCGGCCAGGAAGAGGGUCAAAUAUGCUGGGCCACCCCCUCUGAGGCCGCAGCUGCAUCUCAGGUUUGCAUUCUCACCACGGCCGUUCUACUGAUGGGAGCUUCAUUUCUAUUUGCUCGAGGUAUUACACCUAUUUUAUUUUUCUUUAAUGAAAUCCUCCUCACUUCCAUCACCUCAGUGCACCCCUCUCUUCAGAGCUUUCCUUCUCUCCCCUCCUCCCUCCCCAUCUUUCUUCCUUCCUGUCCCCAAAGACCAGGCCAUGGUGCCCUCGAAGGACACAACAGAGCCCCAUGUGGACUGGGAAGCUGGCCCUGGCCCAGGGCCCCUCCAGCACAGCCUUUCCCCAACUGGCCUUAGGCAAGUGCCCUGCAGUGUCUAUCUGCAGCCAUCUCUGCCUCAUGUGUUUACAAAUUCACCUUCUGCUGUGGAUCCCUGUCAACCGCAGGUCCGCCCAACACAUUUCGCCCUGGAUCUCACUGGGUGGACGUGAACAUCCACCUGCACGACAGUAAAGGAAAAAGGACAAGAUGGAGUUGUGGGGGCAGGGGGUGGUUCUUCCCAUAAAAACACAGAAGCAUCACAAGAAUAAUAUUUGUUAAAAGCCUCCAGGAUUUGGUGCCGAACAUCUCUCAAGGCAUCUCCUGAUUUCCCAGAGCUGAUGGAAAUAUUCUGAAGGUAUUAAUAGAAUGCAGAUGUUGGAGAAUGCGACUUAGAAUCCUACUGAACAAAUGACCCUGUUGGGAGGCAGUUUGCAGUCUCCAGGGACAUUCCACAGAGGGCCCAGCUGAUUGUCUCAUAUUGAAACAGCAUGUCCCAGCAUUCCAGCUAGAAGAAGCGGAACAGGGCUCCUCCACCAGAUAUAAAUCACAAGGCAAAGGGCAACUGAACUCCUUCAGUCCUGCCCUCCCUCCUUCCUUGGUUCACCCUCCACCCCCUCCCCCGCUCCCGCCCCCCAAGGAAAACAAAGCUUGAGUAAGAGGCUGCCAAGCCAAGCCACGCAGGCGCCAGACGGCCGAGCGCGGCACACACGACGGCCGUUUGGGAGGCUCACAGCUUUCGGCACUGUGGCCCUGAUGUUUUUGCUUCACUGCAAUUUGUUUCUGAUCUCCAGUCAAGUCCUUACAACGCUGGGAUCCUCUAGAGAGUUUAUACUUUGACCUCGUGACAAUUAACACCAGAGGCCAAGAAAAAAAAAAAAAACUCGAUAAGAGAGAAACUCAAUUGGUGGGAGGUGGAGGG
RNAcentral lists this long non-coding RNA (2061 nucleotides) under Homo sapiens (human). Its description in RNAcentral is "HSALNT0136459". The record is from RNAcentral. Lineage: Eukaryota; Metazoa; Chordata; Mammalia; Primates; Hominidae.